Molecule: ribosomal RNA, 783 nt
Filed under: Triticum aestivum (bread wheat)
Lineage: Eukaryota; Viridiplantae; Streptophyta; Magnoliopsida; Poales; Poaceae
Description: partial small subunit ribosomal RNA
Source: RNAcentral
AUGACAACGAACCUCGCGGAAACAUACAACUUUGUCCUCAGAGGAAACCGGGCAUUGCCACUUACAACCAUCGUUGAGGGUAUUUUCUAUGGCACCGUCAAGUAUUUCAGAGACAGACGUCAAAUAGCAGAGCAACAUAUCUUGAACAACCCAAAUACACGGUACUGUGAAAGAGUCACGAAGUACAUGGACAACAAGAUGCAAAAAGCUAGGUCACACACUGUAGUCGCCAUCGGUAAUCAAGAAAGAAGGUUUGAGGUCCGCUUAGCCAACAACAAAUUCGGAUGUGCAAAUGAGUUGAGGACGCAUGAGGUGAAAAUUGGCAAUGAAGCCUGGCCAACGUGUGAGUGCACAUGCAAUAAACCGAAAUUGCUUCACCUACCUUGCUCACAUGUACUUGCUGCUUGCGGGCAGCUUGGAAUGGACGCAAUAUCGUUUGUGUCUCCAUAUUUUCAGAAAGAGGCUGUCCUCAAUACCUGGACAGGUGAGCUGAUGGGUUUUCGAUCAAUGGGUAAUUUCAACAGCGUCAACCCCGCCGAAAGGCGUUACAUUCCAAACCCAGAGCAUAUGCGUACAAGUAGAGGCAGACGGCAGUGUCAGCGCAUCCGAAAUGAUAUGGAUGAAUCUGAAGCAGGAGGUCCGACUAGGCAAUGCAUUCUAUGCAAUGAAUUUGGCCAUAGGGACACGAAUUGUCCCACUUUCGUCACUGGGCGUGGACGAGGCAACCGGGGAAGAAGAGGAGGUAGAGGUAGUAGAGGAGUAAGGGCGAGAGGAAGAAGCUAA